UUCUAAGUUCUUUUUCCAUGAUUUAGGUUGGAUUUGAGCUGUGAUUCGGGUGGAUUUUGUGUUCUGGCUUUAUUCCAGUACUAUUGGAUUCACCUUCAAAAAAUAAGGUCUACGAGUUCUCAUAUAAAUUUACUCUCUUUUAUGGAAAAUCAGUAGUCAAUUUUAUAGCAAGAAUGAGUGGUUGGGUUGAAGGACCAAGAAUGGUAUAGAAUGUUGCUGAGUCAUGUACUAUAUUGAUUAGCUAUGGGCAUGGUUGCCACUUAAUUUUCUUAAGUCUGCCUUUAAUUUCUAAGUGAGUUCCCUGCUUUUGACUUUAUCUUAGUCUAGCUGAUUGCAAUCCGGCCGUUAGUGUGAUGUGGAAUAAAUGCAUGUCAUUUCGUUCAGUAUGUAUUUCAUGGUUUUGGACAGGUCAAUCCUUUCAGAUUACUAUGCAGUAUAUGAGUUUCUGUGGCUGCCCAUGUGAAUUUAGCCUGUCUUGCAUGAAGGUAGUAAUGAAUUGAAUAGGAAAAGUUGGUUGUUCAGUUGAAGGAUGGGGAAUGGGUUAGAGUGUUGGAUACUGUUUGCAAUCUAAUUUUUUUUCUUCCUUUUUGGCAUUCUUUACAUUGUAAUAUCCAGCUUUGUCGUGAAGCUACCUAAUAAGAUAGCAUGAGAUUUACGAUAAUUGUGCAGAGGCUGAUGGUGCUUUGGAUAAAGCGAGAAAAGACGAGAAGAAGCACCUUGAAGACACACUGAAUCUUCUUCUUAAGAAGAGGAAGUAAUAGCAGCUUAAAGAAGAGAUUGAAAGGUCUAUGUCACAUAAUUGGCUUUGCUCUUGCCCAAGUAUAACCUGAGGGCCAAGUUUUAUGUAGAAUGUCGGAUGAGUUUGAACAAAUUUCUUGUUGUUUUGUGGGCGGUUUCUUCUUCCUAAGGCAUUUACUGAGUUUAACUAGCAGAGAAAGAAAAAGGAAGAGGGGCAAGGCAAAAUAGGGUGCAGAUACACACCGCUACAGAUUUCAUUUCUUGGUUGAGGGAUUGAGGUGUUUUUCUUUUUUAUGGUCUUGAGUUUGGAAGCUGAAAUGAGCCGUCUGUUUGCCUUGCUUGGUCUAUGUUUUGGACAUAAACUCUUUCUGACUAUUACAUACAGAGUAUUUUUCUGUACUCUUAGCGUUCAUGAUAAUAG
Molecule: long non-coding RNA, 1159 nt
Organism: Rhododendron vialii
Lineage: Eukaryota; Viridiplantae; Streptophyta; Magnoliopsida; Ericales; Ericaceae
Exons: 3
Source: RefSeq, a predicted model, not a curated record